This 828-nucleotide ribosomal RNA is filed under the name Flavobacteriaceae bacterium ACEMC 12-8. RNAcentral's name for it is "bacterial SSU rRNA". It matches the Rfam family "Bacterial small subunit ribosomal RNA", at positions 46 to 870 of the family's 1533-position model. Lineage: Bacteria; Pseudomonadati; Bacteroidota; Flavobacteriia; Flavobacteriales; Flavobacteriaceae. The record is from RNAcentral.
GCUUAACACAUGCAAGUCGAGGGGUAACAGGAGUAGCUUGCUAUUUGCUGACGACCGGCGCACGGGUGCGUAACGCGUAUAGAAUCUACCUUAUACUGGGGGAUAGCCUUUGGAAACGAAGAUUAAUACCCCAUAGUAUUAUUUUUUGGCAUCAUUAAAUAAUUAAAGUUUCGGCGGUAUAAGAUGACUAUGCGUUCUAUUAGUUAGUUGGUAAGGUAACGGCUUACCAAGACUUCGAUAGAUAGGGGUCCUGAGAGGGAGAUCCCCCACACUGGUACUGAGACACGGACCAGACUCCUACGGGAGGCAGCAGUGAGGAAUAUUGGACAAUGGAGGCAACUCUGAUCCAGCCAUGCCGCGUGUAGGAAGACUGCCCUAUGGGUUGUAAACUACUUUUAUAUGGGAAGAAUAAGGUCUACGUGUAGACUGAUGACGGUACCAUAAGAAUAAGCACCGGCUAACUCCGUGCCAGCAGCCGCGGUAAUACGGAGGGUGCAAGCGUUAUCCGGAAUCAUUGGGUUUAAAGGGUCCGUAGGCGGGCAUAUAAGUCAGUGGUGAAAGUCUGUGGCUUAACCAUAGAAUUGCCAUUGAUACUGUAUGUCUUGAAUUAUUGUGAAGUGGUUAGAAUAUGUAGUGUAGCGGUGAAAUGCUUAGAGAUUACAUAGAAUACCGAUUGCGAAGGCAGAUCACUAACAAUAUAUUGACGCUGAUGGACGAAAGCGUAGGUAGCGAACAGGAUUAGAUACCCUGGUAGUCUACGCCGUAAACGAUGGAUACUAGUUGUUUGGCCUUCGGGCUGAGUGACUAAGCGAAAGUGAUAAGUAUCCC